AGGAUGAACGCUGGCGGUGUGCCUAAUACAUGCAAGUCGAACGGGAUCUUCGGAUCUAGUGGCGGACGGGUGAGUAACACGUUGGUACCUACCCCUAAGUGGGGAAUAACUGCCCGAAAGGGUGGCUAAUACCGCAUAAUCCCGCAAGGGUAAAGCGGUAAUGCGCUUAGGGAGGGGCCUGCGUCUGAUUAGCUAGUUGGUAGGGUAAUGGCCUACCAAGGCGACGAUCAGUAGCUGGAUCGAGAGGUUGACCAGCCACACUGGGACUGAGAUACGGCCCAGACUCCUACGGGAGGCAGCAGUGGGGAAUAUUGGACAAUGGGGGCAACCCUGAUCCAGCAAUGCCGCGUGUGUGAAGAAGGUCUUCGGAUUGUAAAGCACUUUCGACGGGGACGAUGAUGACGGUACCCGUAUAAGAAGCCCCGGCUAACUUCGUGCCAGCAGCCGC
RNAcentral lists this ribosomal RNA (448 nucleotides) under uncultured bacterium. RNAcentral describes it as "SSU rRNA". It matches the Rfam family "Bacterial small subunit ribosomal RNA", at positions 26 to 518 of the family's 1533-position model. The record is from RNAcentral.